GCACGGGUAGGGAAGUGGUCAAACCCGCCAGACUCAAGAUCUGGUCGCUUAGUGCGUUCAGCAGUUCAAACCUGCUCCCGUGCA
This 84-nucleotide transfer RNA is filed under the name Candidatus Iainarchaeum sp. RNAcentral's name for it is "tRNA-Leu". The record is from RNAcentral. Lineage: Archaea; Nanobdellati; Candidatus Iainarchaeota; Candidatus Iainarchaeia; Candidatus Iainarchaeales; Candidatus Iainarchaeaceae.